UACGGAGGGGCUAGCGUUGUUCGGAAUUACUGGGCGUAAAGCGCGCGUAGGCGGCUUUGUAAGUUAGAGGUGAAAGCCCGGAGCCUCAACUCCGGAACUGCCUUUAAGACUGCAUCGCUAGAAUUGUGGAGAGGUAAGUGGAAUUCCGAGUGUAGAGGUGAAAUUCGUAGAUAUUCGGAAGAACACCAGUGGCGAAGGCGACUUACUGGACACAUAUUGACGCUGAGGUGGCGAAAGCGUGGGGAGCAACAGG
This 253-nucleotide ribosomal RNA is filed under the name uncultured bacterium. Its description in RNAcentral is "partial 16S ribosomal RNA". It matches the Rfam family "Bacterial small subunit ribosomal RNA", at positions 524 to 775 of the family's 1533-position model. The record is from RNAcentral.